GAGCUAAGUCUGGUUCGGCCUAGAUCGUCUUAGAUCAAGCUUUGAAGUUUGGAUUAAUCUGGUGCGUCUGAUCAGAUUCCAGAUUGAAUCAGGGACGUCGAAAUCUUCAACUCGUGAUCUUUCACUCCACACUCAAAAUCGUCGAGCAAGGAGGAUAUGAGGAUGAUCAGGGGGAGGAGGAGAUCACGAAAAUGGGAAGGAUCGGCCCAUGCAUCGCCGGAAAAAUGGUUUUCCGGCCGGGUCCGAAUCGACUAGUCUGGGCUCCUUCGAUCCGCGUCUGGGGGCAGCGGCGGGGCGAGAUGACUUCACCAGGCGACAGGGCGGCUUGGUCUGAGUGCGGGGAGGGCCGGGUCGUGGCCGGAGGAUGAGCGACGGCGCCGCUGGGGCCUGGUCGGGUCGGCG
This 402-nucleotide long non-coding RNA is filed under the name Rosa chinensis. RNAcentral's name for it is "sRNA RchiOBHm_Chr2g0113921". The record is from RNAcentral. Lineage: Eukaryota; Viridiplantae; Streptophyta; Magnoliopsida; Rosales; Rosaceae.